AGAGUUUGAUCAUGGCUCAGGACGAACGCUGGCGGCGUGCCUAACACAUGCAAGUCGAGCGGGGAGAAGAAUUCGUUUUUCUCUUUAGCGGCGGACGGGUGAGUAACACGUGGGUAACCUGCCUCAAAGAGGGGGAUAGCCUUCCGAAAGGAAGAUUAAUACCGCAUAAUAUCAGGAAGCUGCAUGGCAUUCUGAUCAAAGGAGCAAUCCGCUUUGAGAUGGACCCGCGGCGCAUUAGCUAGUUGGUGAGGUAACGGCCCACCAAGGCGACGAUGCGUAGCCGACCUGAGAGGGUGAUCGGCCACAUUGGAACUGAGACACGGUCCAGACUCCUACGGGAGGCAGCAGUGGGGAAUAUUGCACAAUGGGGGAAACCCUGAUGCAGCAACGCCGCGUGAGUGAUGAAGGCCUUCGGGUCGUAAAGCUCUUUGAUCAGGGACGAUAAUGACGGUACCUGAAAAACAAGCCACGGCUAACUACGUGCCAGCAGCCGCGGUAAUACGUAGGUGGCGAGCGUUGUCCGGAUUUACUGGGCGUAAAGAAUGCGUAGGUGGAUAUUUAAGUGGGAUGUGAAAUCCCCGGGCUCAACCCGGGGACUGCAUACCAAACCGGAUAUCUGGAGUGCAGGAGAGGAAA
Molecule: ribosomal RNA, 636 nt
Filed under: bacterium enrichment culture clone F10 1.694-17
Lineage: Bacteria
Description: bacterial SSU rRNA
Rfam family: Bacterial small subunit ribosomal RNA
Source: RNAcentral